Molecule: ribosomal RNA, 336 nt
Filed under: uncultured bacterium
Lineage: Bacteria
Description: bacterial SSU rRNA
Rfam family: Bacterial small subunit ribosomal RNA
Source: RNAcentral
CCUGGCUCAGGACGAACGCUGGCGGCGUGCCUAAUACAUGCAAGUAGAACGCUGAAGGAAGGAGCUUGUUCUUUCCGGAUGAGUUGCGAACGGGUGAGUAACGCGUAGGUAACCUGCCUGGUAGCGGGGGAUAACUAUUGGAAACGAUAGCUAAUACCGCAUAACAGUAGAUAGCGCAUGAUAUGUGCUUGAAAGAUUCAAUUGUAUCACUAACAGAUGGACCUGCGUUGUAUUAGCUAGUUGGUGAGGUAACGGCUCACCAAGGCAACGAUACAUAGCCGACCUGAGAGGGUGAUCGGCCACACUGGGACUGAGACACGGCCCAGACUCCUACGG